AUGCAGGCCUGGCGGAAAGCUCUGGGUCUGCUGUCUGAAGGCCCGGGUCAGAGAUUCCGUCUCCUCCCAGCUGCCCGGCUGCUGAGACCCCACCCCCACCCCGGGACCUGCCUGAGCCUCCUCUUCUGUGAAGCAGGGGCUGGACCAGACCGGGAGUCUGGCUCCCAAACUAGAGAGUUUGUCAGGUUCAUCUGGGCACCAUGCGGAUGACAAGGACACCGGGGCAACUCCCAGAAGUUGACUUGAAAGCUCCCUGUGGAUGAUGCUGCGACGGCCUCUGGACCACAGAUGGGAGAACGCUGGACCACACAGCAGCCUUCCGGCCUCGGGCGUCUCUGAUGGGGCCCGGUUCUGUUACGGACCUGGAUUCUCUCUGGUUGGCUUGAGGCUCCAUUUCUUUUAAUAUACACAGACUAUUGUUUAAUUAAAAGGGAAUUCACAGUCUUUUCUUCGUAAGUAUGUUUGAAAGCAUUAGAGGGUAACUGUUCCAAGGAGCGCUUCUUUGGGUGAAGGGCUAAGUCCACCAAGGGAACAGAGGCGGAGUGGCUGUACCAGGGAUUCUGCGGCUGCCGCUCCGGGGAGGAGCAACGCGUAGGCCUGAUCCUCCUCUGUGAGUCUUUUCUUUCUUCCCAUCCCUCUCGUCUCCCUCAGGUGACCUCCUGCUUGAUCUGGGGCUCUCUCGAUUAUACCUCCUGCCAAAUGUAAAAGCAAAUGGGGGAGUUCCCACUGUGGUGCAGUGGGUUAAGACUCUGACUCCAGCAGCUUGGGUCACUGAGGAGGUGCGGGUUUGAACCCUGGCCGGGCUCAGUGGGUUACAGGGUCCGGCAUUGCUGCUGCUGUGGUGUAGGUCACAGCUGUGGCUCGGAUUCAGUCCCUGGCCUGGGAACUUCCAUGUACUGUGGGUUUGGCCAUAAAGGAAAAAAAGCAUGAAUAGGAACUGUGGGGUCAGAGCUUCUUGAUGGCUGGUCUGAAACUUGACCUGCUGAUGGAUGGGUCCAGUGUCACCUCAGAGCCCCCUUCUCUUGGCAUUUGGGAAUUUUAUCAGAACAGGAGGUGCCAUCAGCAGUUUUUACCUUGCUCUGACAGCAAGACCCAGGUAAACCAAAAGCAUCUGGGCAGUGGGAACCAGCGUUAAUGACCG
Molecule: long non-coding RNA, 1141 nt
Filed under: Sus scrofa (pig)
Lineage: Eukaryota; Metazoa; Chordata; Mammalia; Artiodactyla; Suidae
Description: lncRNA (ENSSSCG00065033727.1)
Source: RNAcentral